GCUGGCGGCGUGCCUAAUACAUGCAAGUCGCGCGAACGGACGAGAAGCUUGCUUUUCUGAUGUUAGCGGCGGACGGGUGAGUAACACGUGGAUAACCUACCUAUAAGACUGGGAUAACUUCGGGAAACCGGAGCUAAUACCGGAUAAUAUUUUGAACCGCAUGGUUCAAAAGUGAAAGACGGUCUUGCUGUCACUUAUAGAUGGAUCCGCGCUGCAUUAGCUAGUUGGUAAGGUAACGGCUUACCAAGGCAACGAUGCAUAGCCGACCUGAGAGGGUGAUCGGCCACACUGGAACUGAGACACGGUCCAGACUCCUACGGGAGGCAGCAGUAGGGAAUCUUCCGCAAUGGGCGAAAGCCUGACGGAGCAACGCCGCGUGAGUGAUGAAGGUCUUCGGAUCGUAAAACUCUGUUAUUAGGGAAGAACAUAUGUGUAAGUAACUGUGCACAUCUUGACGGUACCUAAUCAGAAAGCCACGGCUAACUACGUG
Molecule: ribosomal RNA, 490 nt
Filed under: uncultured bacterium
Lineage: Bacteria
Description: partial 16S ribosomal RNA
Rfam family: Bacterial small subunit ribosomal RNA
Source: RNAcentral